CCGAGUUUACAACUCCCAAACCCCUGUGAACAUACCACUUGUUGCCUCGGCGGAUCAGCCCGCUCCCGGUAAAAACGGGACGGCCCGCCAGAGGACCCCUAAACUCUGUUUCUAUAUGUAACUUCUGAGUAAGACCAUAAAUAAAUCA
RNAcentral lists this unclassified non-coding RNA (148 nucleotides) under soil metagenome. RNAcentral describes it as "partial internal transcribed spacer 1". The record is from RNAcentral.